RNAcentral lists this ribosomal RNA (234 nucleotides) under uncultured bacterium. Its description in RNAcentral is "partial 16S ribosomal RNA". It matches the Rfam family "Bacterial small subunit ribosomal RNA", at positions 15 to 231 of the family's 1533-position model. The record is from RNAcentral.
GAUCCUGGCUCAGGACGAACGCUGGCGGCGUGCCUAACACAUGCAAGUCGAACGAGAAUCAUAUGACGGAGAUUUCGGUCAACGGAUUAUGAGGACAGUGGCGGACGGGUGAGUAAUGCGUGAGCAACCUGCCCUUCAGAGGGGGACAACAGUUGGAAACGACUGCUAAUACCGCAUAAUGUAUCCGGGAGGCAUCUCUUGGAUACCAAAGAUUUUAUCGCUGAAGGAUGGGCU